UACGUAGGGGGCAAGCGUUGUCCGGAAUUAUUGGGCGUAAAGAGCGCGUAGGCGGUCCGAUAAGUCGGCUGUGAAAGUCCAGGGCUCAACCCUGGAAAGCCGGCCGAUACUGUCGGACUAGAGUCCGGAAGAGGCAAGUGGAAUUCCCGGUGUAGCGGUGAAAUGCGCAGAUAUCGGGAGGAACACCAAUGGCGAAGGCAGCUUGCUGGGACGGUACUGACGCUGAGGCGCGAAAGCGUGGGUAGCAAACAGG
This 253-nucleotide ribosomal RNA is filed under the name uncultured bacterium. Its description in RNAcentral is "partial 16S ribosomal RNA". It matches the Rfam family "Bacterial small subunit ribosomal RNA", at positions 524 to 776 of the family's 1533-position model. The record is from RNAcentral.